CUGAGCAGAAAGCGGGUAGAUCCGGACAAGGAGAGGGGGCGUCAAGGAAGCGGGUGGAGACCGCGCGAGACGCUGACUGGGUAAAGGCCUGAGAGAAGGGAGUGAAUCACCCAGAAGUCCGGCGCUUCUGGCCAUCCUGCUUAGAAGUGCCAGGUUCACCUUACUCAGACAAGUCAACACCUUUGAGCCUCAGCUUUCUACAAAGUAGACAUGAUAAACCUACUUCCCCAGCUUGUCAGCAAGAUUUAAUGAGAGCAUGCAUACCAUGUUUCCUGAUAUACACCAGCUGAUAUCCAGUGUCUAACCUCAAGAAGGUACCCAAGGAACACUGAAAUGCAGAAGAGGAACUGGAGCACAGAGAAGCUCGUAUAAACGCCCAGGAGCACCUAUCUGGUGGGAAAAACAUACAACUCAAUGUCCAGUCAAAUCUGCGGUCAAACUGCUGGAAAGGAGAGACUGCCGGAAAGGAGAACCUGUCAGUAGUCAGGAUGGCCAGCACCAUCUUAAUUACUGAUGGUCUCACCCAAAGCAGGCUUCAAAAGGUGUGGUGUCUUGUCAGUUCAAACACUUGAAAUACCAGGCAUUAUCAUUUUCUCGAAAGUUUCAUAGACAGCGGCCAGGUAGGCUGUGUAGAGUCCAGGUGCAACUUUUAGUAAGGUCUCAGGGAGUCUUUGGAGCUGAACCAGUGCUGUGUGUGCCCACACAUUCAAUUUUAGUAUUCUUUACAGAGAUGACUAAGCCACAGAGACUGU
Long non-coding RNA from Octodon degus (degu), 752 nucleotides. RefSeq lists it as uncharacterized. The record is from RefSeq and is a predicted model, not a curated record. NCBI's taxonomy places the organism in Eukaryota, Metazoa, Chordata, Mammalia, Rodentia, Octodontidae. The transcript is spliced from 3 exons.